Non-coding RNA from Arvicanthis niloticus (Nile rat), 1184 nucleotides. The record is from RefSeq and is a predicted model, not a curated record. Lineage: Eukaryota; Metazoa; Chordata; Mammalia; Rodentia; Muridae.
UGUCACUUAGAUCCUGUCAUGUAAUUUCAUGGAUGGGCAAAGCCAUCAGCCCGAGGCACUAAGUCACUGUUACUGGAAAAGUCAAAGCAGAGAGGAUGAGAACAUUUCUAACCACUCCAUCAGAUGGGAGAGCCUCGGCAAGCGAAGUCUGAGUUUAAGAAAGUAAAUUCUGGCGUGGAUGUAUAGUGCAAUGAAUGUCUGCAAUUAAUUGUUCAAUGAAGACCCAUCCUUCAGCUUUUAACAAAAUCCUUGCCUCGGAGUUGUAACCCAAUGGCUACCUUGGUGUCACGUCUGCUGAUCGCCUUUGCAACUUAGUUUGAGAUCUCUCGUUUCUUAAAAUAUCCUCACUUGCUGCUGGAACCUAGCCUUUCCCUAGUGGCCUCUGAACCACUGGAUUUUACUUACACCUUCUGCUUUGGCUGGUUCUUUCUUUUUCUGAUAGUGUUUCAGCAGGAGACAGAGGUACUGCUCUGAGGUACUGAGGCCUGAGCACUCCACCUGAGAGGAGAAACCUACUCUCUUCACUUACUGCUCCUCAGGGAAGCAGUACCCAGUUACUGGGAAAGCGACUGGAAUUCUGAUUCCUUGGUACCCAUGCAGUGGGGGUGGACUUGAUCCCACAAGGCCAUAAUGAAGUCCUGCACUUCACCAAGCCGCCUCUGACACAACCAUAAGAGCCCAAGGGUCACACUGCCAAUGGCAACUUAAACUAGAAUCUCAGGGUCCUCGUGUGGUCCCCACCAGUGCCAACAAUCAGCAGAAGAGAACAUGUUAUCAUAGGAGAUAAAACUCCUGGCUUCCUGCUUAGUUUCCUCCCAUACCACCAGGUGAAGAGCCAGCCCAACUCCAUUUUAUAAUCAGAAGUCCAUUUGAGUCUGUGGCUAAGUUUCUGUUUACUGUAAAACAUGAGUUUCUGUUUCUCAGAGAGCUGAGCUGCAUCCCACCUCAUAACCAUGAAAUGUUCUGUAACAAAAGCUCUAGGAAGAUUUCCUUAACUGCUUUGUAAAAUCCUAACUACCUGGUCUUGUUUCCGUAACCACACUUGCUGAUAAAAUCCCCCUCCAUAGUUCUGCCGUAUAAAAGGAGCCUGAGAAACUAACUCAGAGCUGGUCUCUGGAACCCUGUUUUAAGGGGAGACAAGCGCUAGCUGGCUCUCUGGUAAGUGCACAAUAAAGUUUGCUUUA